Aphis gossypii (cotton aphid) is the source of this 625-nucleotide long non-coding RNA. RefSeq lists it as uncharacterized. The transcript is spliced from 3 exons. NCBI's taxonomy places the organism in Eukaryota, Metazoa, Arthropoda, Insecta, Hemiptera, Aphididae. The record is from RefSeq and is a predicted model, not a curated record.
AUUUUAUACUAGUUUAUUCUUCAGUAAAAUUGUUUUUCGAUACAAUAGCAACAGUCCUAGUAAUUGCUGAACUACGGUGUAUCGACUAUCACUGGCGACUCCGCACAAAUGAUUCCAUAUCCUCUGAAAAUGAAACGACACACCGAUAUGUUCACGCCGGGUACUUUUGUUGAAGCGCGCUAAUCAAACUAGGUACGAUAAGUGCGCAUUUGUUGUUUCAUAUACAUGCAUACUAUCAAUAUUUUUAAUACGGUAUGGCAGUAUACACAAGCUCUACCUCACACCAUCCAUUCACGGUUGCUCAUAGGUACGUGGCCUGUUACAAUAUCAUCGAGAUAAAUCAAUACAAAUUUACUAACCAACACACGGAAUAGUAAGUAGUAUACUAUUUGGUCGUAGCAAAACAAAAAAAAAAUGUUGCUGCACACAAAUACUAGCCCUAGUUAUUACUCAUGGAUUGGAAUGGAAUGUCUGUCACAACCUGCGCUGGUUUUAGUAUUACAUGGACUCAGAUUUUAAUGCCCCAAAAACUGUAAAAAAUAUUGAAAAAAUGCAUUUUAACUACAAUUAUGUCCGUAAAAAAUUACACAAUUUUUUUUAUAUUCUUUAUUUUAAUUGUACCUAU